UGGGGAAUCUUGCGCAAUGGGCGAAAGCCUGACGCAGCCAUGCCGCGUGAAUGAUGAAGGUCUUAGGAUUGUAAAAUUCUUUCACCGGGACGAUAAUGACGGUACCCGGAGAAGAAGCCCCGGCUAACUUCGUGCCAGCAGCCGCGGUAAUACGAAGGGGGCUAGCGUUGCUCGGAAUUACUGGGCGUAAAGGGAGCGUAGGCGGACAUUUAAGUCAGGGGUGAAAUCCCGGGGCUCAACCUCGGAAUUGCCUUUGAUACUGGGUGUCUUGAGUGUGAGAGAGGUAUGUGGAACUCCGAGUGUAGAGGUGAAAUUCGUAGAUAUUCGGAAGAACACCAGUGGCGAAGGCGACAUACUGGCUCAUUACUGACGCUGAGGCUCGAAAGCGUGGGGAGCAAACAGGAUUAGAUACCCUGGUAGUCCACGCCGUAAACGAUGAUUGCUAGUUGUCGGGAUGCAUGCAUUUCGGUGACGCAGCUAACGCAUUAAGCAAUCCGCCCUGGGGAGUACGGUCGCAAGAUUAAAAACUCAAAUGAAUUGACGGGGUCAUAGCUGUUUCCUG
This 562-nucleotide ribosomal RNA is filed under the name uncultured bacterium. Its description in RNAcentral is "partial 16S ribosomal RNA". It matches the Rfam family "Bacterial small subunit ribosomal RNA", at positions 355 to 1376 of the family's 1533-position model. The record is from RNAcentral.